AAAUCGUACAAGUGUCUGAUCUCUACGGAUAUCCACACGAGACUUCGAUUUGAUCAGAAGCUUCUUAAUCUCAUCGGGAUGCUAGCUCUCUUGCAGAGAUCGCAUCUUGACGGUUGAAAAAUCUUUUUUUCUCUCAAGACACUCGUAGAGAAGAAAAUAAUAGGAGAAUGAUGAUCUCUAUGCUAGAGAUCAUGAGAAGAAUAUAUAUAUAUAUAUUUUUAAACUCAUGCACCAAAUCUUUAUCCUAGAGAUGUAAAAAUAUAUGUCCAACCCUUGGAUAAAGAGAGAAAAAUUUCAUAUCCAAACUUGGACAAAAGAGAG
Molecule: long non-coding RNA, 321 nt
Filed under: Elaeis guineensis (African oil palm)
Lineage: Eukaryota; Viridiplantae; Streptophyta; Magnoliopsida; Arecales; Arecaceae
Description: long non-coding RNA (EGUI_LNC052508)
Source: RNAcentral